AGCCGGGAGAGUCGUUCCUGAGAGCACAAGCACCCCCAAAUGUGAAGUGCACUCGGACACACACACACACACACACGCACGCACACACAAGCACUCAUGUUCUAAAGAGAGAGGUCUGAGUCCGAAGUUGCUGCUGCUGGGAGCUUGAGCUGAGAUGGACUGGUCUUCAUGGGCGCCCAAGGCGCUGGGUGCAGCUUUCCCCGAGACCCCCAGAUGGAAAGGAGGGAAGGAGGAACCCCACACACUCGCCUUUUGCGAGAAGAUCGGCGCGCACCCCAGAGUGCCCCAAGCCUUUGGAAUCUGCCUGCUGAGCGGAGCGCGCGAGCGUGGUGGACAGGUCCCGAACUUGGCCAGCGGGCUUUCUUGGCAACUUGCUUUGCGCAGUUCUCCAUGGAACCCUGGACCCACUGUGCUCCCGGCGCCUUGCCUUUUUUUUUCUUUUUCUUUCUCUCACUGUCUCUUUUUAAAUUUAUGAACUCGAAAUGAAGCGGAAAGCAGAUAUGCGCGUCAGCAUACUUUGGCGGUAGUUCUUCAUGUGGGGGAUGGUCAGCGGGAGAUGGCACUUCAUAAGAUCUGCGGUGGUCACCCCAGUCAUCAUCCGACGUGUUGCACCAGUCUGUGGCACUUCAUAAGGUCUGCAGUGGUCACCCCAGUCAUCAUCCGAUGUGUUGCACCAGUUUGUGGCACUUCAUAAGUUCUGCGGUGGUCACCCCAGUCAUCAUCCGACGUGUUGCACCAGUGUGUGUUGCUGUUUGAGCCGUGCUGCCGACCCCUUCCAGGGCAUCUGCCAUGGGCACCUCCUCCAGCCCGUGCACUAAGACUCAAGAGAGUCGAAGAACCAGGGAAUCGUUGUAAUAACAAGCAUUCUGAAUUGCAUCGUACUGUGUACUAGGAUGCUGGCCCACCACUAGUAUUCUCUGGUGCUCGUUGUGCUUUGGGAGAUCUUCUAUGCAACAUGGAAACCAUGAAUUGUACCACAGAGGGAGAUCUUCUGUCCCACUAGGAAACUGCGAAUUGUACCACAGAGGGAGAUCUUCUAUGCAACAUGGAGACCAUGAAUGGUACACACAGAGAGAGAUCUUCUAUCCACAUGGACACCAUGAAUUGUACCACAGAGGCAGAUGUUCUAUCCAACAUGGAAACCAUGAACUGUACACACAGAGGGGGAUAUUCCAUCCAACAUAGGAACCAUGAACUGUACACACAGAGGGAGAUCUUCUAUCCAACAUGGAGACCAUGAAUUUUACCACAAAGGAAGAUGUUCUAUCCAAAAUGGAAACCAUGAGUUGUAUGCCUAGAGGGAGAUCUUCUAUCCAAUAUGUAAGCCACGAGUUGGACACACAGAGAGAGAUAUUUUAUCCAACUUGGAAACCAUGAAUUGUACACACAGAGAGAUCUUCUAUCCAACACGGAAACAACGAGUUAUACCCACAGGGGGAGAUCUUCUAUCCAAUUCAGACCAGUCCCAGUGCUGACCAGUCCCAUCGUAUCUCUGACGGUGCAUAUCAGGAUCCGCAUUGAUCAGAUGCCGAAACCAUGGCUUGGAAUGGCUGCGAUGAAGCUGAGCUGCGAUUCAAACCCAGACACAGCUUUCUACAGAGAAGCACCUUUCUCCAGAUCUUCAUUGCCAUUUUGGACACACAGCUCCAAACCCAAAAUGUGUCCACUGGAUCAACCCACAAUGCAAACAACUGCUUUCUAAGGAAAAGCCGAGUUUCUAGGAGGCAGCCCACUUCUGACGUGUCCUUCAGUUAACAGGCUGCAGUGGACAGCGUGUGGUGGGUGGAGGAAGACGGCAGAUGAGAAAUUCAAGGAGAUUCACCACAGAGCAGCUUUCUGGCUCAGCUGUUCUAGGGUGCCAUGGAAAACACACCGCUUGACAAGGCUCCACCCUGGAGAUUUACUACUCAGUGAAAAGACACAUCCUAUUCACGGAUUGGGAUGCUGGAGUCCCCAUGUUCUGGGAAGAGGUCUGUCUUGGCAGGCUGCCUUCCCUCUGGAAAAGCGGCAUCUGGAGUGCCCACUCCUCUGACAAUACAACACGGAAUUGGCAGGGGGACACCUCCAGCCUUCACUAGACUUGCCUUGGUGUUAUCGCAUGCAGCCCGUGCAUUCAAGGUUCCUGGCCCCCGUGCUGGAUUGUAUGUGGAUUCUCUUUUGUGGCCUCUGCUGCUGUGAAUGGAACCCACAUUUAGAAUCAGCAACUCCCAGCAAAAUUGAGUACUCUGCAAUUCCUUAAAGCCCCUUUCUCUUUUCUCCAUGUUUCUCCAACCCAACGGUAGCCCAAGACAUUUUAGGUUGCCAUUGUGGGUGUUGUUUAUGGACUGUCUCCUUUGGGAGGCACUUUCUCGUUCUCUAAGAAGAAACAAAGCAAAACACAAGACCCAGCCUUCCCAGGUGUGUGAAGUCCUGCAUGGCAGCCCUCGCUGGCUCUCUGCGAACAGGGACAGAGCCCGACUCCUUCCUGUGGCUUCAUUUCCAUUGUCCUUGCUUCCUCGUAAUAAUUUUUGUGAAGAUUAUUCUGGGGCUGCAAAACUUAGCCUUACUUUUCAAAGUGUUCUUGCUCCUCCUCUCCCAAGCAUUUGCUGAAAUAAGAGGUUCCUCCGGGUUUUUGGAAACAUAUUCCUCAGUUCCUGACUUGACUCCAGAACGACACUUGUUUAAAGUUCACCCUCUUCUUCUCUGGGUUUCCAAUGUUGUCCUAAGGCUCGAGGUGUAGUUUUUUGUUAGUUCUUUUGUUGGUUUAGGUAGCAAUGACUGAAGCCUGUUCUCUCUAAGAGCUGACUACAAUUUUCUCUCUGCCUCUGAACAAACUAUUUUGCAGAGCUAGAGGUGUCCAGGCAUGGCCUCAGCCCUCACCCAUGCUGCUCUGGGCGCGGCCUCAGCCCUCAUCCAUGCUGCUCUGGGCUGUUCCACGGUCCUUUCCCCACUGCUGCAGGGAGGCCCAUCACUGGUCUGAGGCAUCCGCUCCUCCUGCAGGGUGCUUUAUUCCUCCUUCUUGCUGGAUUUCACAAACCACGAUGGCACUCAGGUCAGGGCAGCACACGAACCCCUGACACCUGGCUGAGGAGCAGGAUGAUGAGGGGGAAAGGAAGCUGAGGCCACAAACUUCAGGGCGGCCAGUGACUCUCAGCCCAAACCUCAGAGCUCCUCUUUGCAGAGUCUGCAGAGAGAGUGCGGCUCCCACUGUGCAAUGCACAGAGAGUGUCUCUGAAGUGACUCGCACCUGAAUCCAGUUCCAGCAACGCGAGGCUCCCGGGAAGGGCAGCUGCUCUUUCAGAGGGAGGCUCUCGCCCACCCCUCACACCUCAGCCUCUAUGCCCCUGGCCUUCCACGCUGGGAACAGUGUUACCCACCUCUGGGGAAAGAGAUGUGGUGAUGGCCCGGAUCCUGAAUCUCCCACCAGGACCAGUGAAUCCUGCAACCACGGCGGCAGGCCUGCACUGCACCAGGACUCUGGGCGAUGGAGCCUUGUGCCUUGCAGCCAGGGUUUUGGCCCCAUCACCAUGAAUAGUCUCCUGCUACAUAUAAGCCAACAAGGCUGCUUGUCCUGAUGAGUUCAAAACCUAGUUGAAAAUAUGCAGAGGAGUCCUCCUAACACAAGGCCCUGCUCUGUGAUUGCCUGGCCCGUAAAGAAAGGGUCAAGGUCCCAAGACAGAGCCCUACCUCACAAGACCUGUCCAGCAAGGACAGGGCUGUGAGCACUUGCAUUCCUUCCUUCUGCAACCCAGGAGCGAAGGCCGUCUUGGAUAUUAAUUUACUUACCUGGACUCCGAUCUACCGUGUGACUUUGGUCACGUUACUUCACCUCUCUUGGCCAAUAGUCUCUUUACUUUUUGCAACCCAGGGACUGGGCUUCUUCAGUGCCUCUUAGAACUCCUGAUCCUAAGGGAAAGGAUCUGCCCUUUGGGCAGCGUUUAAGUGUUCUCUUCCCUAAGCACCUCUCCUAUUCCAGGCUUUCUCUGUUCCAUGGAUUCCUUUUCCUCCCCAUGUGUGCAUUCUCUGGCACCUGCCAGAGGACCCCUUCCCAGAUGUUCCUUCCACCUUACCUUUCCAUUAUUUCCAUUCUUUCACCUUGCUUUGUCCUAAUCUGACUUUCUGAAGCCAUUAUCUAUUAUUUCAUUAUAAAAAGUCUAGCUUGGGACCCACCAAGUUCAUUUCAUGGCUGAUUAUUGGUUUGAGACCUGGAGUUUGAAAAACAGUGCUCUACAGGACCUUGAAAGACAAGUGCAUAACCCCUGUCAUUCAAGUGACUUCGGCACUGUGGAUCCUAGGACAGGUCCCUGAAGAAGGCAAGUGGUAGAGAAGGGAGAAAGGAUCUCAGGACGUGAGUUCAUAGGAGGCUGGGAAAAGUGUGAAAUGGUUUUAUGCUGGGAAAGCUAAACGGAGAGCUUCCUCCUUUCCACUGCGCCCUUGGAGCAGUACUGGCCGAAGGACUUUGUGA
Molecule: long non-coding RNA, 4444 nt
Filed under: Homo sapiens (human)
Lineage: Eukaryota; Metazoa; Chordata; Mammalia; Primates; Hominidae
Description: HSALNT0338421
Source: RNAcentral